Molecule: ribosomal RNA, 305 nt
Filed under: uncultured bacterium
Lineage: Bacteria
Description: bacterial SSU rRNA
Rfam family: Bacterial small subunit ribosomal RNA
Source: RNAcentral
CCCUACGGGGCGCAGCAGUAGGGAAUUUUCGUCAAUGGGCGCAAGCCUGAACGAGCAAUGCCGCGUGAACGAGGAAGGUCUUCGGAUCGUAAAGUUCUGUUGAAGGGGAAAAAGAGCGGAGAGAGGAAAUGCUUUCUGAUUGAUAUUACCCUUCGAGGAAGUCACGGCUAACUACGUGCCAGCAGCCGCGGUAAUACGUAGGUGGCGAGCGUUAUCCGGAAUGAUUGGGCGUAAAGGGUGCGUAGGCGGCUUGCUAAGUCUGGAGUGAAAGGUACCGGCUCAACCGGUACAGGCUCUGGAAACUG